CUGUAUGACCUGAUGGGACACAUACGGAACAUGCUGGAGCUAAAGAAGCUGAUCGUGGUCGUCUCACUGGACAUACAGG
Molecule: microRNA precursor, 79 nt
Filed under: Bombyx mori (domestic silkworm)
Lineage: Eukaryota; Metazoa; Arthropoda; Insecta; Lepidoptera; Bombycidae
Description: microRNA bmo-mir-2857 precursor
Source: miRBase by way of RNAcentral